Oreochromis aureus is the source of this 663-nucleotide long non-coding RNA. Lineage: Eukaryota; Metazoa; Chordata; Actinopteri; Cichliformes; Cichlidae. The record is from Ensembl.
GGAUCAAUCAGCAGUGAUGAGCAGCAGGUGAGCAGUGCGUGGGUGUGGGGAUCAGUAGGAAACUGGGGCCCCGAUGCCGCCCUGACGGAGGAGGUGAAAAACAGCACACCAGAGCAAGCAACAGAGGACCAUGAGACUUUCACUAGACCUCCCCAUGCUGGAGACGAGCAGCUUUUAAUGCGGGCUCCAGCUUUGGUUACCUUGGUGUACAUCUUUCUGAGGACCUUACAUAGAGCCACAACACUGGACCCCUGGUUAAGACGGUACUGUCUCAGGAGGCUGAUGCACACCAGAUGGUUGGUGGAGAGGAUCCUGUCCUGUCUGGCAUGGUAGCUACUAUGUGGUAGAGAAGAAGGCUAAGUUGAGGGUGGUGACAGCAACAUGAAGGACGUUGGCAGCAGCCUCCCCACCAUCACAGACAUCUACAGCAGCUUCCUGUAUCUUGAAAGAUGCUCCUCACCCAGAAUACACACCUGUCCCCUCCCAUCAAGUAGGAGGCUGUGAAGCAUCAGGAGCAAAACUCGGAUUUUUCCUUGUUUUGUUACUCAUGUUAUUUUGUACUUUGUUUUAUUUUAAGCAAACCACCUUUAGUUUAUUUUUAGUUUCUGAGUCCCGUUGUUUGGGUCCUACUCCAGCCUGCAACACAGCCACGCUCACAAAUAU